This is a long non-coding RNA of Globicephala melas (long-finned pilot whale), 980 nucleotides long. RefSeq lists it as uncharacterized. The record is from RefSeq and is a predicted model, not a curated record. Lineage: Eukaryota; Metazoa; Chordata; Mammalia; Artiodactyla; Delphinidae.
GGGGGCCCGGGGCCCGCGCGGGCUUGCGGGUCCGGGGCGGGAUGCCAGGUACCAGGGCCUCUGGGCUUCCUGUUAAAGAUUUUUUUCUGAGAGGGAUGGGUUUCUGCGCCGCUUAAAGCGAGAGGAGGAAAGAGGAAGUGGGCUCGGGCGUCGGCAUCCUCUCUGAUGGAGAAAUACGGGAAGGGCAGCGGCGUCUAAGCCACAGCCGCUGCUUCGGGGACGGGGGACGUGAUGACUGUUGGGAGACCCGGUGACUGCUAGCAUAAUCUGUACUUUUGGACGAAUCAGUUAAAUGCGCUUUGUUACCUUCUAGACAUGUUUAUGGAAGGAGGGUUUAUUUGUCUAUCCAAUUUUGUAGUCUCUGUCUUUUAACAGAAAUAACCAGUUCUUCAAAUGCUCUUAGAACCAGCUUUACCAUCCUACUGCUUCCUUCAUCAAUUAAAAAUAAAAUCAUUGACAUGGGUUCAUUCUGUAUAGAAGCAUACGAGAGAGAAAUCAGCAAUGAUUCCUAUGUUUCUGGCUUCAACAACUGGGAAAAUGGAGUAUGUUACAGCAACAUGCCUUAAUAAAGACAGCCAAAGUCCAAAUACCUCUGUCAACAUUAAGUUGAUAUAAACACAGCAAAGGUGAUGGGAGUGACCAGAUCACAAGGAAGCCAGAUUUUGAGGACAGAUGUCUGGGAGGAAGGAGCAAGAAGACAAAGGGAGGAAAAGCAAAACGAUAAUGGAUUAGCGGUGAGAUGGACGUGUCUCCGUGUUCUGGCCCUCCAAACCAACAACUGUCAUUCAAAAACCGUCUCAUCCUGGUGACCAGCUUGCCUUUUCCUCAGCAUCUUCUUCCCAUGGUCAAGACAUGAGACUGGUCCAUUGAGGAUAAAAUGAAGAACUAAAGUAAGUGAAAGAAGAUGAGAUUUUAGGAGCAAAAUGUCUAUGGCAUAAAAUAAAUUAAUAUAACUGAUAAUAAAGAUAUUUGAUCAAAGA